GAUGAAGAACGUAGCGAAAUGCGAUAAGUAAUGUGAAUUGCGGAAUUCAGUGAAUCAUCGAAUCUUUGAACGCACCUUGCACCCUUUGGCAUUCUGAAGGGUAUGCUCGUUUGAGUGUCAUUGUACUCUCACACUCCCGAUCUUUGCAUUGGGAGCAGUGGACUUGGGUUUGCUGCUUCACCGUCGCUUACCUCAAAUAGGUUAGUGCAACUCUUGGUUGGACAUAGUACGGCGUGAUAAGUGUUCUUCGCCGGUGCCUCGCAAAGAGGGUGGCCGAUCGGGAUGUUGUGCUCCAAACCGUCUUCGGACAAUCUCUGACGACUUGACCUCAUAUCGAGUAAGACUACCCGCUGAACUUAAGCAUAUCAAUAAGCGGAGGA
This 380-nucleotide unclassified non-coding RNA is filed under the name soil metagenome. Its description in RNAcentral is "partial contains 5.8S ribosomal RNA, internal transcribed spacer 2, and large subunit ribosomal RNA". The stretch from base 1 to 120 matches the Rfam family "5.8S ribosomal RNA", at positions 35 to 154 of the family's 154-position model. The record is from RNAcentral.